RNAcentral lists this long non-coding RNA (471 nucleotides) under Nicotiana tabacum (common tobacco). Its description in RNAcentral is "long non-coding RNA (NTAB_LNC015826)". Lineage: Eukaryota; Viridiplantae; Streptophyta; Magnoliopsida; Solanales; Solanaceae. The record is from RNAcentral.
CUCAUCUGGCAAACUGGCAGUGCCAGCUUAAAACGCAUCGUCCCCUUCCCCUCGUGUGUAUCGCCCCCUUUUCUUCCAAUUCCUUUUCUUUGGAUUUCCCUUGCUAAAUCUCAUCAAUUUCACCGUCCAUUUCUCUUCUACAAAACCCUCCAAUUCCCACUCACAAUCACAAUUUUCUUGAAAAAUCCCCUUUUCUCCAAUGGCUUCUUUCAGUGUCCCUUGUCCCAAGAUUUCUGUUUUAUCCGUUGCUUCUUCCCAUUCCAGCUCGACCCAACAACCCCACGUCUCCGUUUCCUUGAGAUCCACUCCUGCAUUGCUCCCUCGUCUUCAGGUUUGUUUUCCCUUUGACGUAAAUCUUAAAGAUUGAAACUUUACCAUGCAUUUGAUUGAAUUUAGUGUGUGUGUGUGUGUGUGUUUUCCUUCAGGGGUCCAGUCGACUCCAAUCUCAGGUGUUUAAGGUGAAUGCCCAGC